This 781-nucleotide ribosomal RNA is filed under the name uncultured bacterium. RNAcentral's name for it is "bacterial SSU rRNA". It matches the Rfam family "Bacterial small subunit ribosomal RNA", at positions 291 to 1084 of the family's 1533-position model. The record is from RNAcentral.
CCUGAGAGGGUGACCGGCCACACUGGGACUGAGAUACGGCCCAGACUCCUACGGGAGGCAGCAGUGGGGAAUAUUGCACAAUGGGCGCAAGCCUGAUGCAGCGACGCCGCGUGAGGGAUGACGGCCUUCGGGUUGUAAACCUCUUUCGCCAGGGACGAAGCGCAAGUGACGGUACCUGGAGAAGAAGGACCGGCCAACUACGUGCCAGCAGCCGCGGUAAUACGUAGGGUCCGAGCGUUGUCCGGAAUUACUGGGCGUAAAGAGCUCGUAGGUGGUUUGUCGCGUUGUUCGUGAAAACUCACAGCUCAACUGUGGGCGUGCGGGCGAUACGGGCAGACUGGAGUACUGCAGGGGAGACUGGAAUUCCUGGUGUAGCGGUGGAAUGCGCAGAUAUCAGGAGGAACACCGGUGGCGAAGGCGGGUCUCUGGGCAGUAACUGACGCUGAGGAGCGAAAGCGUGGGGAGCGAACAGGAUUAGAUACCCUGGUAGUCCACGCCGUAAACGGUGGGUACUAGGUGUGGGUUUCCUUCCUUGGGAUCCGUGCCGUAGCUAACGCAUUAAGUACCCCGCCUGGGGAGUACGGCCGCAAGGCUAAAACUCAAAGAAAUUGACGGGGGCCCGCACAAGCGGCGGAGCAUGUGGAUUAAUUCGAUGCAACGCGAAGAACCUUACCUGGGUUUGACAUGCACAGGACGUGCCUAGAGAUAGGUAUUCCCUUGUGGCCUGUGUGCAGGUGGUGCAUGGCUGUCGUCAGCUCGUGUCGUGAGAUGUUGGGUUAAG